GAUGAACGCUGGCGGCGUGCCUAAUACAUGCCAGUCGAGCGAACAGACGAGGAGCUUGCUCCUCUGACGUUAGCGGCGGACGGGUGAGUAACACGUGGAUAACCUACCUAUAAGACUGGGAUAACUUCGGGAAACCGGAGCUAAUACCGGAUAAUAUAUUGAACCGCAUGGUUCAAUAGUGAAAGACGGUUUUGCUGUCACUUAUAGAUGGAUCCGCGCCGCAUUAGCUAGUUGGUAAGGUAACGGCUUACCAAGGCAACGAUGCGUAGCCGACCUGAGAGGGCGAUCGGCCACACUGGAACUGAGACACGGUCCAGACUCCUACGGGAGGCAGCAGUAGGGAAUCUUCCGCAAUGGGCGAAAGCUUGACGGAGCAACGCCGCGUGAGUGAUGAAGGUCUUCGGAUCGUAAAACUCUGUUAUUAGGGAAGAACAAAUGUGUAAGUAACUAUGCACGUCUUGACGGUACCUAAUCAGAAAGCCACGGCUAACUACGUG
RNAcentral lists this ribosomal RNA (497 nucleotides) under uncultured bacterium. RNAcentral's name for it is "partial 16S ribosomal RNA". It matches the Rfam family "Bacterial small subunit ribosomal RNA", at positions 28 to 507 of the family's 1533-position model. The record is from RNAcentral.